CAAUAGCGUAUAUUAAAGUUGUUGCAGUUAAAAAGCUCGUAGUCGGAUUUUGGCAUCACGCCGAACUGUCUGCCGAUUGGUAAGUACGGUUUGGCGGGUGCUUCUUUCUUGAAGCUCGUUCCCUUCUUAACUGAAGGGUUCGUUGGUUCAGGUUCUUUUACUUUGAGAAAAUUAGAGUGUUCAAAGCAGGCCUAUGCUCUGAAUAUUUCAGCAUGGAAUAACACUAUAGGACUCCUGUCCUAUUUCGUUGGUCCCGGGACGGGAGUAAUGAUUAAGAGGAACAGUUGGGGGCAUUCGUAUUUCAUUGUCAGAGGUGAAAUUCUUGGAUUUAUGAAAGACGAACUUCUGCGAAAGCAUUUGCCAAGGAUGUUUUCAUUA
This 378-nucleotide ribosomal RNA is filed under the name uncultured eukaryote. Its description in RNAcentral is "partial 18S ribosomal RNA". It matches the Rfam family "Eukaryotic small subunit ribosomal RNA", at positions 592 to 975 of the family's 1831-position model. The record is from RNAcentral.